AAGCUGUAAACAUAAUUGUGAAAUGUUUAAUGAGAAAUUCAGAUUAAAUUCAUUUACUCUUACAAAUUUGUUAUGGUAUCAGAGCAACAUUAAAACUAAGAAAAACAAGAAAUAGCUCGUUUCUUCAAAUCAAAAUCAUUUACAGAUUGAAAUCAAAGCUUCCGCAAUUACUCUGUUCAAAUCCAAACUUAAGGUUUUCUGGAUAUAAAUACAUCAUUGUUAUUGAUUCACAUUAUAUCUUUCAUUCUAAUCUUUGUCAUCUUCCUUUUCUUUCUCUUGUUCUUGACAAUUAUUUUUCUGAGAAACCCUAAUUUCUUCAUUUUCUUUCUAGUUUCUUCAAUUUCUACAAUAAUGGCGUCGUUUAUAAACAUGGAAACAGAUCCUUCUAGUCCAUUUUACUUACAUCCGAAUAAGAAUCCUGCUUUAGUUCUAGUUUCACCAUCAAUGAAUGAUAAGAACUAUCAUUCUUGGUGUAGAUCGAUGAGAAUGUGUCUUUUGUCUAAAAAUAAGUUGAAAUUUAUGGAUGGGAGUAUUCCAAUUCCUUCAAAGCUUGAUCAAAUCUAUCCAAUCUGGGAGAGGUGUAACACGAUGGUGUUAUCUUGGAUCUUAAGGUCGCUAUCUGCUUCUAUAGCACAGAGUGUUCUGUGGAUGGACAAUGCAGUGGAUGUGUGAAAAGAUUUGUAUGACAAAUUCUCUCAAGAGAAGUUUGUAUCAUACAGGAUCACAUCAAUUAGAAGAUGAUUGGAUUAGCUAGAAAGGUGCAAGGACUCUAUCAACUACAUGUUCUGCUGUUAUGAAUAAAACUGUUGCUGGUGUUUCUGAUGUUAAUAAGCAUGUUAUUGAUAAAACUGAGAAUACUUGUUCUAGACAUAUUUCUAAUGAUUUUUUGUGGCAUUAAAGAUUAGGUCAUUUGGCAGAUUCAAGAUUAAAAUGUAUACGGUCUAUAGAUUCUUCAGUUAGUUUGCCUUUAACUAAGCAUUGUAAGAUUUGUCAUAUGGCUAAGCAAAGAAAUAUAACCUUUCCAAUAAGCACUUAUACUGUUCAUAACUGUUUUGAUUUAUUGCAUAUUGAUAUUUGAGACCAUCUAAAGUUGUUUCUAUGUAUGGUCACAAAUAUUUUUUGA
Mercurialis annua (annual mercury) is the source of this 1123-nucleotide long non-coding RNA. RefSeq lists it as uncharacterized. The transcript is spliced from 2 exons. The record is from RefSeq and is a predicted model, not a curated record. NCBI's taxonomy places the organism in Eukaryota, Viridiplantae, Streptophyta, Magnoliopsida, Malpighiales, Euphorbiaceae.